GUGACGGCACAUCUGGCCCUGCUGCUGGGAGGGAGCCCUGUGGGCUGUGCGCUGCCCUCAGCCCUUGUCCUCCAAUUCAGGUCAAGUUACUGCUCCAGUAGCUUUGUGCAGUGGAUGGAGGUGGGGAGGGUGCAGGGAGUGGGGCUUCUUCAGCUGCAUCAUGGCACAGUCACGUGUGACCGAGUUACACAGACAGGUUGGUUGGCGUGAGAAGCUCCUGCGUAACAUUUGGUGCCAUAGGAAGCUCCCAGCUGUGGCGCUUGGCUGGAUGCUGUGUGGGAGGCCAAUCAGGUUAUACCUGAAGUGCCUGAGGGCUGCUGGUGGCUCUCAGCCCAUUUCCUGUGCUGCAGGAAUGUUCCGGUCUCUGCUCCCCAUCCUGUGCCUUUGAAGAUGAGGGGGCGUUUUGUUGCUGUGCAAAAUUUGCAGUGUCAAUUAAUCAGCGUGUCCCAGGGGAAGGAGCUCUCUCAAAUGGAGUUCAAAGAUGAUGAAGGUGUGCUGUGAACAAGCACUGAGAUAUUGACCUGCUCUUAAAGUGAGCCCAAUGACAUUGGGUUCUGACAGAGGGACCUGAGCCUGGCCGUGCUUUUAUAGCCAUACAACAGCACAUCCAGACCACCCCUCCCUGCUGUAGAAGAGGUAACCAUGUUCUGCCUGCACCUGCCUGUGACCACAGGCAGCAGGCCCACCUACAGCAAUGAGCUCCCCUGGGUACCACAGUGAGCAAGCUCUCAUGCAGUGCAGGUGAGUGGAUGUAAUGGAGAGCACACACCUGGAGGGAGGGUCUGGCCUCCAAGGCCAGCAGGGGGACAGGUCCUUGGUUGAGUUCCUUGCUUCAGCCAGGUGCCAGCAGUACUGUGUGCUACCUUGUGCUGGGGUUAAAUCACAGCUGUGGGCACAGACAACGAGCAGCCAGGACCCAGCACUGCUUUCCUUAGAUCCUAUUGACUCAGCUUUACAACAGGACAGUCUUUUGCAUCCUGUCUCCACAACACAGAUGUAAAAUUCACAGCUCCUCAACUGGAAGUGUCUUUGUGGCCUAAUAAUACAUCUCUGUAU
Molecule: long non-coding RNA, 1056 nt
Organism: Gallus gallus (chicken)
Lineage: Eukaryota; Metazoa; Chordata; Aves; Galliformes; Phasianidae
Source: Ensembl